UAUGAAGUAAACUAAUACAAGUUUUAAGAUUCAUACUCUUACUAUGGUCUCGACUGCCCUUCAUAA
This 66-nucleotide transfer RNA is filed under the name Brachionus angularis. Its description in RNAcentral is "tRNA-Met". Lineage: Eukaryota; Metazoa; Rotifera; Eurotatoria; Ploima; Brachionidae. The record is from RNAcentral.